UAGACAUCUGUGCUUAUAGGCUCUGAUUGUAGGUUAUGUAGCUUUAUUGCUCAAAAAAAUAGAAUAAAAUAAAGACGAAUUUGCAGUAAAGUGUAUAAUAAUGCAUGAUGUAUAGAUGUGCAGGCAACUAGUGACGUAAUUUUUAUUUUCUUCGUUAUAUCUAGAUUAUCUUAGAUUAGAGUUAUAUUAGAGUAUAUAUCAUCUCAGAAAAGAGCAUACGUAUUGUAAAUGUUUCGUAAGGUCAGAUUUGUCAAGCAGCUUUGUAAUGCUGCGAAUGUAUCAACGGAAUCUGCUGCAACUGCGGAGGUAUCAAAUCGAUUGCAGCAGUUUAGAGCAAAACUACAGAGAGAUGAACAGAACGGGAUACUUACGGAUACAUUUGGACGUAAGCACACGUAUCUCAGAAUAUCUGUAACGGAACGUUGCAACCUUCGCUGCACAUAUUGCAUGCCUGCAGAGGGUGUCAAGUUGACUAAAAAGGAAGGUAUUUUGAGAACUGACGAGAUAAUACGGAUAGCUGAUCUUUUUGUCAAAGAAGGAGUACGCAAAAUAAGAUUGACUGGUGGUGAGCCCACAGUUCGUAAGGACAUCAUUGACAUUGUUGGACAACUUAAGCAAUUAAAGAACUUGGAGCAAGUUGCCAUCACUACUAAUGGACUAACGCUAACCCGUCAGUUGCCAUCUCUUCAACGAGCAGGAUUAGACAUGCUGAAUAUAUCGUUAGAUACACUGAAAGAGGAACGCUUUGAGAUGUUUACUCGCAGAAAGGGCUGGGCAAGAGUUAUGACAUCUAUAGAUCUCGCUGUACAACUUGGUUAUGAUCCUGUCAAGGUCAAUUGUGUUAUAAUGCGUGGUCGUAAUGACGAUGAAAUAAUUGAUUUUGUCGAUUUCACAAGAGAUCGUCCCAUCAAUGUACGUUUCAUAGAAUACAUGCCGUUUCAAGGUAACGAGUGGAAAGAAAAUAAAAUGGUCUCGUUUGUCGAAAUGAAGGAAAUAAUCCGAAAGAAGUAUCCUAAUUUUCAAGCUCUGCCAAAUCAAGCCAAUGAUACAUCCAAGGCCUAUCACGUGCCAGGAUUCAUCGGACAAGUUGGAUUUAUCACAUCGAUGAGUCAGCACUUCUGUGAUUCGUGUAACCGUUUAAGAAUAACGGCGGAUGGCAACCUCAAAGUAUGUUUAUUUGAAGGGAAGGGUGAAGUUUCCCUCCGAGACGCUUUGCGAGAUGGAGCUUCGGAAGAUGUAUUGAAAAAUUUGAUAAGAAUGGCGAUAUUGCGAAAAAAGAAGCAACAUGCAGGAAUGUUCAAUCUAACUCAGAUGGAAAAUAGGCCAAUGAUCCUUAUCGGGGGUUAAUUAAUUGUUAAUUGAUAUUUAACCGGCUGUAAAAAUUCAUUCGGCUUUGUCGAGACGUGCACAGACCUUAUCCCAAUUACGCGCGUAAGGAGCGAUUAUGUCACAAAGUAGACAAUACCGUGUCGAUGUGGGACACGUAUAAGUAUUUUCCGUACGUUCCUGCGUAUUCUAAGACAAAUAUGAGUAUUAGAA
Molecule: unclassified non-coding RNA, 1539 nt
Filed under: Ooceraea biroi (clonal raider ant)
Lineage: Eukaryota; Metazoa; Arthropoda; Insecta; Hymenoptera; Formicidae
Description: molybdenum cofactor biosynthesis protein 1, transcript variant X4
Source: RNAcentral